AUGAAUGCAUUAUUUUUCUGCCAGUUGUUUUUUUUUUUUGUUUUUGUUUGUUUGUUUUUUAAGAGAUACAUUUUAUUUAGAACUUCCUUACUUUGGAAUAAUAAACUAUUUCACUGUAUAAUCAUUUCCACUCAGAUUAUCAUAUUCCAUUCCCAAAGAUGGCAUUUGCUAUCUGCAUUGGUAUCAUCUGCAGUGCUAUGCAUCAUUGAGCUCUAUGUGAUUAUUCAACAGGGAAGAAUAAAACAUCGUGUAUCAUCUCAAAGUUGUAGAAACAACCCAAAGUGCUAAAUAUUUCUAUGGACGGUUCAUGUAUCAUACACUUGUUAGCAUACUGUAAAGUCGUUUUACCUCAGAAACUUGCUGUAUUAAAUAUAUUGAAUGAGAUGAAGCUCCACCUCCUCUCUAAUACUCAACUUACAUUCAAUGCAACCUCAUGAGGUGCUUUUCUUCCCUUCUCAUCCAUCCCACUACUUAUGAAGAGUAAGGAUGAAAGUAAAGUUUAUAGAUAAAAAGACCCUACAAGCACUCAUUUUUACAGAAAGGUAUGACAGAACUCAGUUUCUGCUUUAGCCCCACAGUAAGACCGUCCAUUUUAUCACAUUGCUAUCCAAAGGGAAUAGCAUACACUAGCCAUUAGAGAGAAUUAGAAGUCACAUCCAAGUCCGAAUGGCCGUAUUUCUAGACCUAUGGUUCACAAGUUCUGUCAUAUUAAGAGCUACCUUUUCCUCUUUUGCCAGGGAAAAGCCACUUUUGUCUGACAGUUCAAGGAUCAUAACUUCAGCAGCAAAAGAUUUUCUUGUUCUUUCCUCCACUCCCAGCUGCUUGCCCUGCACACCUCACAUUGCCUUCAGCAGCACUUCUGAAACAGGCUGAGCAAAGCUGUGAAAAUACCAUACAACAUCCCACUCACUUCCCUCACUUGCCCUAGGCUACCAGUUUCUUCAUAUCUUUUCUGACUGGCAAGCUAGUUCCAACUGGAGAGGUAACAGUGCCCUUGAUUAACCCUUUCUGAGCUAAUUAGACUGAGUACCUGCAUUUAUGUGGGCAUGUAAAUGCAUACCUACCUAUCUGAAUAUAUGUAUGCACGAGGAAGGAAACUCGGCGCCUUUUGUAUUCCAUAAAUCCCCCAAGAAUGCCAAAGUAUUCUGCAUUCUGAUACCAGCUUUACCACACAGCUUUCACUGUUAAUAGCUGUUUAGAAUGAGAAAAGAAGGAAAAAAAAAAGAAAAAAGUGAAGUCAUCAUGGUGCUUUAACACUGUAAUGGUGUACCUGCUAUUCUUCACUACUUCAGCGUGGAAUAUAUCACAAUUUGAUGUUCUAGGUAGAAAUUAUGAAAUAUAAUGGAAGCAAAGCAAACAACAACAUUUUUUAAAUGUUGCUAAAUUGACAUUAUCCUUUACAGACUGAAUUGUUGCUGGCAGGUUACUGUUAAAUCAAUCCUUCUGUAUCUCUCUAAAAUCACAGUUUCUGUGAGUGUAGAUAUGUUUUCCAGGGUUAGGACCCUAGCUUCCUUGUUUUCAAAUGUGAAUUCAGAAUUUAUAACUCUAAUGAUUUCAUUUCUCUUGCAGCUCAGCAAUAAAUGAUGCAGUCACCUGCA
RNAcentral lists this long non-coding RNA (1598 nucleotides) under Anas platyrhynchos platyrhynchos (common mallard). Its description in RNAcentral is "lncRNA (ENSAPLG00000023132.1)". The record is from RNAcentral. Lineage: Eukaryota; Metazoa; Chordata; Aves; Anseriformes; Anatidae.